Long non-coding RNA from Poecilia reticulata (guppy), 762 nucleotides. RefSeq lists it as uncharacterized. Lineage: Eukaryota; Metazoa; Chordata; Actinopteri; Cyprinodontiformes; Poeciliidae. The record is from RefSeq and is a predicted model, not a curated record.
CAGUCAUUCUUAAAGUUUGAUUUGUGAUUUUGUCUUUUCUGAUAGAUUUUGUAAUUUUACAUCCAGGAUCUUCAGGAGAAUUAAGUGAAACCCAAACUCCUUGUUCUCAACGAAGACCUGGCGAAAAACAUGAGUUUGCUCCCUCAAGAAGAAGAUGUAGUCCUGCAGCUGCUGCCAGUACUCCUCCCUGCUACACCUUACUCAUUUGGGAGAAGUUUCAGACCCAUCAACCUGGAGGUUCAGAAGGCUUCAUUGAUAUCCAGCCUAUCGUUUCAGAAGAGAAAGGAGCGGCCAUCUUCUCAACAACAUGGAUUUUCUCCCUUAAGACAGACAAGAUGAUGUAGCCCUGGAGCUGCUGCCAGUACUCCGCCCCACUCAACCUUAAGCAUUUGGGAGAAGAGUUUCAGACCCAUCAACCUGGAGGUUCAGAAGGCUUCAUUGAUAUCCAGCCUGUUGGGACAAACCUGAUGGAGAGGUGGAGCAUCUACAAAAUGCAACAACCCAUAUGUCCUCAUGCAGGGAGACAGGCAAAAAUGCUAUAGUGUCGUUAAAAAUGCUCCUUGUUUAAUGGCUGAAAGUUUUACUUGUAGUUUUCUUUAAAACAUACUUUUUACAAGAAAUGUUUUCUAAUGUGUAGUAACAGAUACUUCUGGAGUUGUAGCCAAAUGAGUUGAAGUGAUUUAACUAUAUACUUUUGAAACAACUUACUUAUGUUUUGUAACUUUUGUAAGUGAAAUCUGUUGGCUCUAUAUAUGUAUCAAG